GAGGAAUUUUGCGCAAUGGGGGAAACCCUGACGCAGCAACGCCGCGUGAGUGAUGAAGGCUUUCGGGUCGUAAAGCUCUGUCAAGUGGGAAGAACCCACAUGAUGAUAAUACCAUUAUGUGUUGACGGUACCA
This 133-nucleotide ribosomal RNA is filed under the name uncultured bacterium. RNAcentral's name for it is "partial 16S ribosomal RNA". It matches the Rfam family "Bacterial small subunit ribosomal RNA", at positions 356 to 480 of the family's 1533-position model. The record is from RNAcentral.